UGUGCAGUGAUGAGAAAGCUAACAUGUAAGAAAAGUAUUUAACUUUGUGUUGAAUAUUUUUCUAUGAAAUAUUCUUGUUACGCUUGGCUUCUGAGCAUA
Molecule: small nucleolar RNA, 99 nt
Organism: Erigeron canadensis
Lineage: Eukaryota; Viridiplantae; Streptophyta; Magnoliopsida; Asterales; Asteraceae
Product: small nucleolar RNA R24
Exons: 1
Source: RefSeq, a predicted model, not a curated record